AUGACGUCAAGUCCUCAUGGCCCUUAUAUCCAGGGCUACACACACGCUACAAUGGCCAGUACAAUGGGUUGCCAAGCCGCGAGGCGGAGCCAAUCCUAAAAGCUGGCCUCAGUUCAGAUUGCAGUCUGCAACUCGACUGCAUGAAGUUGGAGUUGCUAGUAACCGCAGGUCAGCAAUACUGCGGUGAAUACGUUCCCGGGGAUU
RNAcentral lists this ribosomal RNA (204 nucleotides) under uncultured Anaerolineaceae bacterium. Its description in RNAcentral is "partial 16S ribosomal RNA". It matches the Rfam family "Bacterial small subunit ribosomal RNA", at positions 1179 to 1378 of the family's 1533-position model. Lineage: Bacteria; Bacillati; Chloroflexota; Anaerolineae; Anaerolineales; Anaerolineaceae. The record is from RNAcentral.